This 19-nucleotide non-coding RNA is filed under the name Caenorhabditis briggsae. Its record names the gene cbr-miR-71. The record is from miRBase by way of RNAcentral. Lineage: Eukaryota; Metazoa; Nematoda; Chromadorea; Rhabditida; Rhabditidae. RNAcentral also lists the same sequence under 5 other names.
UGAAAGACAUGGGUAGUGA